UGCCGCCCUGAAGGGCGUAUGGUGGAUGCCUUGGCAGACAGUACCGAUGAAGGACGUUUGAGGAUGCGAUAAGCCUCGGGGAGCCUCCAACAUGGCUUCGAUCCGAGGAUUUCCGAAUGGGGCAACCCGCCGGCCGUCAUGGGCCGGCACGGAACCUUGUUGUUCCGGGGGGUACGCAGGGAAGUGAAACAUCUCAGUACCUGCAGGAAGGGAUACUCCGUGAGUAGUGGCGAGCGAAAGCGGAUCAGACCAAACCAUGGGCGCGUGAUACCCGUCGGGGGUUGCGUCCGUGGUGUUGCGGGAGCGUGUGUCCCGGUUCCGACGGACCGGGCGGGAGUCAUAAAACGGCUUGCCAGGGGAACAGGCUUGAAGGCCUGGCCGCAGAGGGUGCCAGCCCCGUACCUGGAAGCUUGCCGUCUUCCGAUCAUGUGUCCCAAGUAGCGCGGGCCUCGUGGAAUCCCGUGUGAAUCGGCCCCGACCGUGGGGUAAGUCUAAGCAUACCUGUCUGACCGAUAGCGUACCAGUACCGUGAGGGAAAGGUGAAAAGCACCCCGGGAGGGGAGUGAAAGAGUUCCUGAAACCGUGCGCCUACAAUCCGUCGGAGCCUCCUCAAGUGGGGUGACGGCAGUGCCUAUCGAAAAAUGAGUCUGCGAGUCAGUGGUGCGUGGCGAGGCUAACCCGUCGUGGGGGAGCCGUAGCGAAGGCGAGUCUCAAAAGGCGUUUUGAGUCGCGUGCCCUGGACCCGAAGCGGGAUGAUCUAGCCCUGGGCAGGUUGAAGCGCGGGUAAGACCGCGUGGAGGACCGAACCCACCUGGGUUGAAAACCGGGGGGGAUGACCUGGGGCUAGGGGUGAAAGGCCAAUCAAAUUCCGUGAUAGCUGGUUCUCUCCGAAAUGCAUUUAGGUGCAGCGUCGGUUGAUUGCAUCGCGGGGGUAGAGCUACUGGAUGCUUGCGGGCCCGUAUGGGGUACCAACAGCAGCCAAACUCCGAAUACCGUUGAUGUGUAUUCCGGCAGUGAGUCGGCGGGGGAUGAAGCUCCGUCGGUCGAGAGGGAGACGAGCCCAGCAUAGUCGUC
RNAcentral lists this ribosomal RNA (1074 nucleotides) under Bifidobacterium catenulatum DSM 16992 = JCM 1194 = LMG 11043. RNAcentral's name for it is "bacterial LSU rRNA". It matches the Rfam family "Bacterial large subunit ribosomal RNA", at positions 1 to 1040 of the family's 2925-position model. The record is from RNAcentral. Lineage: Bacteria; Bacillati; Actinomycetota; Actinomycetes; Bifidobacteriales; Bifidobacteriaceae.